UACGGAGGGGGCUAGCGUUGUUCGGAAUUACUGGGCGUAAAGCGCACGUAGGCGGAUUGGAAAGUUGGGGGUGAAAUCCCGGGGCUCAACCCCGGAACUGCCUUCAAAACUCCCAGUCUGGAGGUCGAGAGAGGUGAGUGGAAUUCCGAGUGUAGAGGUGAAAUUCGUAGAUAUUCGGAGGAACACCAGUGGCGAAGGCGGCUCACUGGCUCGAUACUGACGCUGAGGUGCGAAAGCGUGGGGAGCGAACAGG
This 253-nucleotide ribosomal RNA is filed under the name uncultured bacterium. RNAcentral describes it as "partial 16S ribosomal RNA". It matches the Rfam family "Bacterial small subunit ribosomal RNA", at positions 524 to 776 of the family's 1533-position model. The record is from RNAcentral.